Long non-coding RNA from Patella vulgata (common limpet), 246 nucleotides. RefSeq lists it as uncharacterized. The transcript has 3 exons. The record is from RefSeq and is a predicted model, not a curated record. NCBI's taxonomy places the organism in Eukaryota, Metazoa, Mollusca, Gastropoda, Patellidae.
GCGGAAGUGGAUUCAAUUGCGCGUGCCUUUAAAUCUAAAGAUUUCGCCGCCCUUAAGACGGCCGGUGUCAGUGUUAGUGGUGUUAAUUAUCAGGUUUCGAAAGUACUGAAUGGCAAUGAAGUUUUCGCUAGGAAGGCAAAAAACGGUGGCAUUGUAAUGAUGAGUACAAAGCGAGCUGUGGUUAUUGCCCAUUAUCGAGAAGGCAGUAAAAUGGAAAAUGCCGCAAAUGGAGUUGAGUUUGUAGCC